CUUAUUGCAAUAACAAUUUUAGAACUAAUAAUUUUUUAAACAUUUUUUUUUGAAUUUUUGUAAAUAAUAAAAAUAAUGAAAAGUGUUUUUGAAAAUCCCAAUGUUUCCCCUUUCCCACUUUUUAAUUUUUUUUUUCAAUUUCUUGCUAUUAUAGUCAACUUUUUAAUUUUGAGAAUUUUAAAUUGAUUUUAAAUAUUUAUUAUUUUUAGUGAGCAGUGAGAAUUAAAAUAAAUUGACGGUCAAAAUUAUGUCUAAAAGAGAAAUCGACAAUCAAAAUUAUAUCACGUUAACUGAAUUAAAUUAACUAUGACUAUAGGUCACCGAUGGACUCAGCGUAUUGAGACCUUCGAGAUGGGACCGACCCUGCUCCAAUCGGACAUCAUUUGAAAAAAGCGAUUAUCGGACGGCUUAGAUUGCUUAGUGAGACAUUUGACUUUUUGAUGCUUGAAAAUUAAAUAUAAUUAUAUGAUAAUUAUUAAUAAUUUUUAGGCUUCGUUCAGGUGUGAUCGGAUUGAUGAUAGCUCACCGGCAAUCGAGACCGAGUUUUUAGCUCGAUCCAGCUGCCUGAUACACUUGUCUUAUAUAGAUAUUUUUAAGUACAUUUGUAUAAUAUUUCAUGCCAUUUAGAAUAGCAAUCCCAUGCAUAGUCAUUGAUUUUAUUAACUUUUGUAAAUUCCAGUGCCAAGCUCUAAAUUCCAUGUUUCUGCAGUAUUUCAGGUGUUUUGGUGAAGUCACAGAGCAUAGGAGUGCAAAGGGAGGCUUGGAGAGGUCAAAAGACUGAGAAUUGCUGCUAAUACAAAGUACAUGGGCAGUGUAAGCAAAGCCACAGGCCCGUGUAACCUUCUGCCAGAUGAAAGCCAGAGAGCCAAUGGAGGAACAAAAGUACACGAGUCGUGUAAUUGGACCCGUGUAAGUCUCUGCCGGGCACAAGCUUGAAGAAUUUCCUGAGAACAAAAGUACACGGGUUGUGUAACCAGGCCUGUGUAGCCAAUGCAGACUCAUGUAAACCUCUGUGCCAAUGCAAGACUCUGCCAUUUCGCUCCAGUAAGUUAAAUGGCCCAGGGCCGUGUAGUGACACACGGGCCGUGUAUAAUGUGGCAGCCAGUUUCCUAACCCGAAUUCCCGCUCUUGUUUACAGAUUCAAAACAUGCUCCUAAGGCUUUUUGGCCUCAAAAUGACCUAACCCUAGAAUAGCUAUUAUAAAUAGAAGCAGAAAAUAUCAAGAAAAGGGAGAUCAAUCUUUUUCAGAGCUUUUUAGGAGUUUCAAAGAGUGCUCGCUUCUGCACUCUCUUCAGCUGUCUUGAGGAGAGGAAUAUCAGUAUCAUGGAGCAGUUUUUCAGCCAAAGUUCCACAAGAUCAAAGUUGUAAACCCUCUUCGGUUCUUUCAUUCCAUCUCCUUAAAUGGAUUUUUAUUGUUCUUUACUUCAUUUUUAUUAUGUUUGCUGAACUCACCAUGAGUAAGUAAUUUCCAUAUUUUAGAAUUAGG
RNAcentral lists this unclassified non-coding RNA (1486 nucleotides) under Hevea brasiliensis (rubber tree). The record is from RNAcentral. Lineage: Eukaryota; Viridiplantae; Streptophyta; Magnoliopsida; Malpighiales; Euphorbiaceae.